This 2908-nucleotide ribosomal RNA is filed under the name Staphylococcus aureus. RNAcentral describes it as "bacterial LSU rRNA". It matches the Rfam family "Bacterial large subunit ribosomal RNA". The record is from RNAcentral. Lineage: Bacteria; Bacillati; Bacillota; Bacilli; Caryophanales; Staphylococcaceae.
AGGGCGCACGGUGGAUGCCUUGGCACUAGAAGCCGAUGAAGGACGUUACUAACGACGAUAUGCUUUGGGGAGCUGUAAGUAAGCUUUGAUCCAGAGAUUUCCGAAUGGGGAAACCCAGCAUGAGUUAUGUCAUGUUAUCGAUAUGUGAAUACAUAGCAUAUCAGAAGGCACACCCGGAGAACUGAAACAUCUUAGUACCCGGAGGAAGAGAAAGAAAAUUCGAUUCCCUUAGUAGCGGCGAGCGAAACGGGAAGAGCCCAAACCAACAAGCUUGCUUGUUGGGGUUGUAGGACACUCUAUACGGAGUUACAAAGGACGACAUUAGACGAAUCAUCUGGAAAGAUGAAUCAAAGAAGGUAAUAAUCCUGUAGUCGAAAAUGUUGUCUCUCUUGAGUGGAUCCUGAGUACGACGGAGCACGUGAAAUUCCGUCGGAAUCUGGGAGGACCAUCUCCUAAGGCUAAAUACUCUCUAGUGACCGAUAGUGAACCAGUACCGUGAGGGAAAGGUGAAAAGCACCCCGGAAGGGGAGUGAAAUAGAACCUGAAACCGUGUGCUUACAAGUAGUCAGAGCCCGUUAAUGGGUGAUGGCGUGCCUUUUGUAGAAUGAACCGGCGAGUUACGAUUUGAUGCAAGGUUAAGCAGUAAAUGUGGAGCCGUAGCGAAAGCGAGUCUGAAUAGGGCGUUUAGUAUUUGGUCGUAGACCCGAAACCAGGUGAUCUACCCUUGGUCAGGUUGAAGUUCAGGUAACACUGAAUGGAGGACCGAACCGACUUACGUUGAAAAGUGAGCGGAUGAACUGAGGGUAGCGGAGAAAUUCCAAUCGAACCUGGAGAUAGCUGGUUCUCUCCGAAAUAGCUUUAGGGCUAGCCUCAAGUGAUGAUUAUUGGAGGUAGAGCACUGUUUGGACGAGGGGCCCCUCUCGGGUUACCGAAUUCAGACAAACUCCGAAUGCCAAUUAAUUUAACUUGGGAGUCAGAACAUGGGUGAUAAGGUCCGUGUUCGAAAGGGAAACAGCCCAGACCACCAGCUAAGGUCCCAAAAUAUAUGUUAAGUGGAAAAGGAUGUGGCGUUGCCCAGACAACUAGGAUGUUGGCUUAGAAGCAGCCAUCAUUUAAAGAGUGCGUAAUAGCUCACUAGUCGAGUGACACUGCGCCGAAAAUGUACCGGGGCUAAACAUAUUACCGAAGCUGUGGAUUGUCCUUUGGACAAUGGUAGGAGAGCGUUCUAAGGGCGUUGAAGCAUGAUCGUAAGGACAUGUGGAGCGCUUAGAAGUGAGAAUGCCGGUGUGAGUAGCGAAAGACGGGUGAGAAUCCCGUCCACCGAUUGACUAAGGUUUCCAGAGGAAGGCUCGUCCGCUCUGGGUUAGUCGGGUCCUAAGCUGAGGCCGACAGGCGUAGGCGAUGGAUAACAGGUUGAUAUUCCUGUACCACCUAUAAUCGUUUUAAUCGAUGGGGGGACGCAGUAGGAUAGGCGAAGCGUGCGAUUGGAUUGCACGUCUAAGCAGUAAGGCUGAGUAUUAGGCAAAUCCGGUACUCAUUAAGGCUGAGCUGUGAUGGGGAGAAGACAUUGUGUCUUCGAGUCGUUGAUUUCACACUGCCGAGAAAAGCCUCUAGAUAGAAAAUAGGUGCCCGUACCGCAAACCGACACAGGUAGUCAAGAUGAGAAUUCUAAGGUGAGCGAGCGAACUCUCGUUAAGGAACUCGGCAAAAUGACCCCGUAACUUCGGGAGAAGGGGUGCUCUUUAGGGUUAACGCCCAGAAGAGCCGCAGUGAAUAGGCCCAAGCGACUGUUUAUCAAAAACACAGGUCUCUGCUAAACCGUAAGGUGAUGUAUAGGGGCUGACGCCUGCCCGGUGCUGGAAGGUUAAGAGGAGUGGUUAGCUUCUGCGAAGCUACGAAUCGAAGCCCCAGUAAACGGCGGCCGUAACUAUAACGGUCCUAAGGUAGCGAAAUUCCUUGUCGGGUAAGUUCCGACCCGCACGAAAGGCGUAACGAUUUGGGCACUGUCUCAACGAGAGACUCGGUGAAAUCAUAGUACCUGUGAAGAUGCAGGUUACCCGCGACAGGACGGAAAGACCCCGUGGAGCUUUACUGUAGCCUGAUAUUGAAAUUCGGCACAGCUUGUACAGGAUAGGUAGGAGCCUUUGAAACGUGAGCGCUAGCUUACGUGGAGGCGCUGGUGGGAUACUACCCUAGCUGUGUUGGCUUUCUAACCCGCACCACUUAUCGUGGUGGGAGACAGUGUCAGGCGGGCAGUUUGACUGGGGCGGUCGCCUCCUAAAAGGUAACGGAGGCGCUCAAAGGUUCCCUCAGAAUGGUUGGAAAUCAUUCAUAGAGUGUAAAGGCAUAAGGGAGCUUGACUGCGAGACCUACAAGUCGAGCAGGGUCGAAAGACGGACUUAGUGAUCCGGUGGUUCCGCAUGGAAGGGCCAUCGCUCAACGGAUAAAAGCUACCCCGGGGAUAACAGGCUUAUCUCCCCCAAGAGUUCACAUCGACGGGGAGGUUUGGCACCUCGAUGUCGGCUCAUCGCAUCCUGGGGCUGUAGUCGGUCCCAAGGGUUGGGCUGUUCGCCCAUUAAAGCGGUACGCGAGCUGGGUUCAGAACGUCGUGAGACAGUUCGGUCCCUAUCCGUCGUGGGCGUAGGAAAUUUGAGAGGAGCUGUCCUUAGUACGAGAGGACCGGGAUGGACAUACCUCUGGUGUACCAGUUGUCGUGCCAACGGCAUAGCUGGGUAGCUAUGUGUGGACGGGAUAAGUGCUGAAAGCAUCUAAGCAUGAAGCCCCCCUCAAGAUGAGAUUUCCCAACUUCGGUUAUAAGAUCCCUCAAAGAUGAUGAGGUUAAUAGGUUCGAGGUGGAAGCAUGGUGACAUGUGGAGCUGACGAAUACUAAUCGAUCGAAGACUUAAUC